Molecule: ribosomal RNA, 497 nt
Filed under: uncultured bacterium
Lineage: Bacteria
Description: partial 16S ribosomal RNA
Rfam family: Bacterial small subunit ribosomal RNA
Source: RNAcentral
GAUGAACGCUGGCGGCGUGCCUAAUACAUGCAAGUCGAGCGAACGGACGAGAAGCUUGGCUUCUUGAUGUUAGCGGCGGACGGGUGAGUAACACGUGGAUAACCUUCCUAUAAGACUGGGAUAACUUCGUGAAACCGGAGCUAAUACCGGCUAAUAUUUUGAACCGCAUGGAUCAAAAGUGAAAGACGGUCUUGCUGUCACUUAGAGAUGGAUCCGCUCUGCAUUAGCUAGUUGGUAAGGUAACGGCUUACCAAGGCAACGAUGCAUAGCCGACCUGAGAGGAUGAUCGGCCACACUGGAACUGAGACACGGUCCAGACUCCUACGGGAGGCAGCAGUAGGGAAUCUUCCGCAAUGGGCGAAAGCCUGACGGAGCAACGCCGCGUGAGUGAUGAAGGUCUUCGGAUCGUAAAACUCUGUUAUUAGGGAAGAACAUAUGUGUAAGUAACUGUGCACAUCUUGACGGUACCUAAUCAGGAAGCCACGGCUAACUACGUG